This 377-nucleotide ribosomal RNA is filed under the name uncultured Perkinsidae. Its description in RNAcentral is "SSU rRNA". It matches the Rfam family "Eukaryotic small subunit ribosomal RNA", at positions 585 to 972 of the family's 1831-position model. The record is from RNAcentral. Lineage: Eukaryota; Perkinsozoa; Perkinsida; Perkinsidae.
CCAGCUCCAAUAGCGUAUAUUAAAGUUGUUGCGGUUAAAAAGCUCGUAGUUGAAUUUCUGCCGAGGACGACCUACCCACCUUAGGGUGCGUGUCAGCGUUGACCAAGGCAUCCUCCUAGACGCGGUCGAGCUUUACCGCUCGAUUCGUGCUAGGACUUUUACUUUGAGGAAAUUAGAGUGUUUCAAGCAGGCUUUUGCCUUGAAUAUUUUAGCAUGGAAUAAUAAUUUAGGACUUCGGUUCUAUUUUGUUGGUUUCUAGAACUGAAGUAAUGAUUAAUAGGGACAGUCGGGGGCAUUCGUACUCAACAGUCAGAGGUGAAAUUCUUGGAUUUGUUGGAGACGAACUACUGCGAAAGCAUUUGCCAAGGAUGUUUUCA